AGGGUCCAGCUUCGGCGGCACGCUAACCUCGAUUCGGAGCGCGCGCCACUACUGCAACUCUUUAUUAGCACGUUCUUGCUCUCGAUCGAGAGAACUCGGUGAUCGAUACUGCCUGUGGCCUUGAACGCAGCAAACUUUUCGACUCGUUUAACAAAGUGUAGGGGAAUAUAAUUAGGGUGUCUACAGCCGUGUUGCCGUCGCGUCUUCGAGAGGAGGCUGUCGUCCGUGAUUCGGCCAAAUGAGUGACGCGAAUGGUAGCACGGCGUCGGUAUGACUGACUCUCUCUCCUGACCCAGCGUACACGACCUGGCGUUGUGGCAAGCAAGCAACCAGCAGGCGUAUCCGUGGUUGGUCAGCCGGUUUGCCAGCGAUGGACUUGAUCCGAUUCCCGACUUUUCCCUUGUUACGAUCGAUUCGACCGCGGGGCUGCACCUCUCUUUCGCCGUGGAGGAAUGAAGCGCGGUUGAAUUAUAUUUCAUCUGAUAUAUUCACGUGAUAUAUGUGUACCUUGGUGACAGUGCGUGUUUUCUCUUUCUUUCUUUCUUUCUUUCGGUCGGGUGAAUUUUAUCGAGGAUAAUAAGUUUUGGGGACAAAGAAGAUUUUCAGAGGUGAGAAAAGAUAAUUGCUACGCGGAGAUUUUAUAAAGACUGAAAGAUUGUACGACGUAAUGAUUAAUAUGUGUAUUUUAUUCGUGAGUUCGUUUAGAAUUAAGAGAGAAGUUAUAUAUAUAGUUCUUGAGUGAACUAAUCUGCGAAUCAUUGUAUAGAAUGUUAAAAAUUGGGAUUUUAAAGGUCAAAUAAAUUUAAAAAUUAGUACACGAAAAUAUCGAUUGAAGCUUAUUUAUCGAGUUAUAAGCAAGUUUAGAAGAAGUUAGAUAGAAAUAACUUUAUCUUGAAAUAACUGUCUUCGUCUUAUCUAAACUUGCUUAUAGUUUAAUAAAUAAAUCUCAAUCGAUAUUUUUCAUAAAUUAAUUUUUGUGAUUUUGUUUUGAUUUCGAUAUGUCGCUUAUUAAAAAAUGGAAAGAAUGCAGACCGGUUUUUUUUAAAUUAAAUAAUUAAAUUGGUAGAAUCCGAUGAAAAAGUUGAAGAAUUUUUUUCUUCCAUUUUUUUAAAUGAAACGACAUAAAUUAAUUAAAUGUAGCGUUUAAUUAAAUUACUAUAUUUUUAAUAUAAAUAUAAAUAUAGGUUGUUAUAUAUUAUAUAAAUUAUUGCAAUAAAAUUUCUUUGAAAAUUUAAA
This is a long non-coding RNA of Apis cerana (Asiatic honeybee), 1236 nucleotides long. RefSeq lists it as uncharacterized. Lineage: Eukaryota; Metazoa; Arthropoda; Insecta; Hymenoptera; Apidae. The record is from RefSeq and is a predicted model, not a curated record.